CGCAGCCGCGGUAAUUCCAGCUCCAAUAGCGUAUAUUAAAGUUGUUGCGGUUAAAAAGCUCGUAGUUGAAUUUCGGGAUCAAUACGUCGGUCGUGCUUAGGUACGUACUGGCGUAAUUGAUUUCUCCCUUCUGACGAACCAUGAUGUCAUUAACUUGGUGUCAUGGGAAAUCAGGACUGUUACUUUGAAAAAAUUAGAGUGUUUAAAGCAAGCUAACGCUUGAAUACAUUAGCAUGGAAUAAUGAAAUAGGACGUUCGAUCCUAUUUUGUUGGUUUCUAGGAUUGACGUAAUGAUUAAUAGGGAUAGUUGGGGGCAUUAGUAUUCAAUUGUCAGAGGUGAAAUUCUUGGAUUUAUUGAAGACUAACUACUGCGAAAGCAUUUGCCAAGGAUGUUUUCAUUAAUCAAGAACGAAAGUUAGGGAUCGAAGACGAUCAGAUACCGUCGUAGUC
This 450-nucleotide ribosomal RNA is filed under the name uncultured Glomeromycotina. Its description in RNAcentral is "SSU rRNA". It matches the Rfam family "Eukaryotic small subunit ribosomal RNA", at positions 569 to 1025 of the family's 1831-position model. The record is from RNAcentral. Lineage: Eukaryota; Fungi; Glomeromycota.